CAGGGAGACAACAAAAUGUUAAAUAUUAAUUUUGUCACCUUAGGUCGAUCGGUACCUCACAUUCUUAAUUUUUAAGAAUUUUAUUUCCUAAGUUUUUUCUAGGUCACACCCAUUACUUUUCCUGGGCCAUUAGCUCAGGUGGUUAGAGCGCACCCCUGAUAAGGGUGAGGUCCCUGGUUCAAGUCCAGGAUGGCCCAUAUCUUUAUGUUGGGGGUAUAGCUCAGUUGGUAGAGCGCCUGCUUUGCAAGCAGGAUGUCAGCGGUUCGAGUCCGCUUACCUCCACUGAUUACCACCUCUUCCAUAUUCUGUAGAAGGGAAAUGUUUUGAGUUGUGAUCAAAUUCUGAACGAUUCUAGCUUCCUAAUUUAACUCAUUAAGAUGCUGGAUUCAUUGAAUUAAAUUCAUUGUUUUCAGAGAACCUUGACAACUGCAUAGAUUAUUUUUAAAGACAAUAAGCAUCUUUAAUGAUGCAGAUUUAUUAUUUGUGCUAAAGCAUUAAUAACAAUUCUAUUAAGCUGAUGCUUCAAUUUUUGAAGUUAUU
This 540-nucleotide transfer RNA is filed under the name uncultured cyanobacterium. Its description in RNAcentral is "partial 16S-23S ribosomal RNA intergenic spacer". The stretch from base 210 to 282 matches the Rfam family "tRNA". The record is from RNAcentral. Lineage: Bacteria; Bacillati; Cyanobacteriota.